RNAcentral lists this ribosomal RNA (341 nucleotides) under Escherichia coli. Its description in RNAcentral is "partial 23S ribosomal RNA". It matches the Rfam family "Bacterial large subunit ribosomal RNA", at positions 55 to 435 of the family's 2925-position model. The record is from RNAcentral. Lineage: Bacteria; Pseudomonadati; Pseudomonadota; Gammaproteobacteria; Enterobacterales; Enterobacteriaceae.
GACGUGCUAAUCUGCGAUAAGCGUCGGUAAGGUGAUAUGAACCGUUAUAACCGGCGAUUUCCGAAUGGGGAAACCCAGUGUGAUUCGUCACACUAUCAUUAACUGAAUCCAUAGGUUAAUGAGGCGAACCGGGGGAACUGAAACAUCUAAGUACCCCGAGGAAAAGAAAUCAACCGAGAUUCCCCCAGUAGCGGCGAGCGAACGGGGAGCAGCCCAGAGCCUGAAUCAGUGUGUGUGUUAGUGGAAGCGUCUGGAAAGGCGCGCGAUACAGGGUGACAGCCCCGUACACAAAAAUGCACAUGCUGUGAGCUCGAUGAGUAGGGCGGGACACGUGGUAUCCU